UAGGUCUAACCAGGCUGUGCAGGUUGACCA
Molecule: non-coding RNA, 30 nt
Filed under: Homo sapiens (human)
Lineage: Eukaryota; Metazoa; Chordata; Mammalia; Primates; Hominidae
Source: RNAcentral